UAUUACAGAAACAAAAACUAAGACUCAGCUUCUUCUGCAGCUUUAACAGGAAGGCGGUUCUGAGUUAGACAUAAAGCAUGCAUUAUUCCAGAAUCCUCUUGAUGUUUUCCACUCUGAUGGCCACGGAGGUGACCGGAGAAGGUGAAGUGAAACAACUCCCCCGUUGGAUGGUUGUUCGUGAAAUGGGCAUUGUGUCCAUGAAUUGCUCUUUUGCCAGAACAGCUAUCAAUGUGCGUUGGUAUAGACAGCUCCCUGAUCAGCCACCCCAGUAUCUGGUGAUGGCUAAAAGUGAUGAUGAUCAGCCUAAGAGGAUCACCGCUUCAAUCAGUGGAGAUUACAAAACCAGUACCCUGACUGUCAAAGACACCAGAAUUAAUGACACCGCCACCUACCUCUGUGCAAUGAAGGCACAGUGUCACAAACAGCUUGACAGCGUGUACUAA
Chiloscyllium plagiosum (whitespotted bambooshark) is the source of this 443-nucleotide non-coding RNA. NCBI's taxonomy places the organism in Eukaryota, Metazoa, Chordata, Chondrichthyes, Orectolobiformes, Hemiscylliidae. The record is from the annotation of a RefSeq genome assembly.